ACUCAAAUGAAUUGACGGGGGCCCGCACAAGCAGCGGAGCGUGUGGUUUAAUUCGACGCAACGCGAAGAACCUUACCAGGGCUUGACAUGCGUCUUACAGGCGGGGAAACCCGGUGGCCCGCAAGGGCGUGGCGCACAGGUGCUGCACGGCUGUCGUCAGCUCGUGCCGUGAGGUGUUGGGUUAAGUCCCGCAACGAGCGCAACCCCUGUCGUGAGUUAGAUGCUCUCACGAGACUGCUGGUGGCAAGCCAGAGGAAGGCGGGGAUGACGUCAAGUCAGCGUGGCCCUUACGUCCUGGGCGACACACACGCUACAAUGGCCGGUACAGCGCGCGGCGACCUCGCGAGGGGAAGCGAAUCGCUCAAAGCCGGCCCCAGUUCAGAUUGCAGGCUGAAACCCGCCUGCAUGAAGGCGGAGUUGCUAGUAACCGCGGGUCAGCACACCGCGGUGAAUACGUUCCCGGGCCUUGUACACACCGCCCGU
RNAcentral lists this ribosomal RNA (483 nucleotides) under uncultured bacterium. RNAcentral describes it as "partial 16S ribosomal RNA". It matches the Rfam family "Bacterial small subunit ribosomal RNA", at positions 899 to 1397 of the family's 1533-position model. The record is from RNAcentral.